AGCCUUCUGAAUCAGUGUUAAGAUUUUGUCAGACACCCGACGAUCAGUACCGAUGAGACUUCCAAGAUAAGUAUAGCG
Molecule: microRNA precursor, 78 nt
Filed under: Schistosoma margrebowiei
Lineage: Eukaryota; Metazoa; Platyhelminthes; Trematoda; Strigeidida; Schistosomatidae
Description: mir-3492 microRNA precursor family
Rfam family: mir-3492 microRNA precursor family
Source: Rfam by way of RNAcentral